UACGGAGGGUGCAAGCGUUAUCCGGAUUUACUGGGUUUAAAGGGUGCGCAGGCGGAUAUGUAAGUCAGUGGUGAAAUCUCUAGGCUUAACCUGGAAAUUGCCGUUGAUACUAUAUAUCUUGAAUGUUGUGGAGGUAAGCAGAAUAUGUCAUGUAGCGGUGAAAUGCUUAGAUAUGACAUAGAACAUCGAUUGCGAAGGCAGCUCGCUACACUAUGAUUGACACUGAGGCACGAAAGCGUGGGGAUCAAACAGG
Molecule: ribosomal RNA, 253 nt
Filed under: uncultured bacterium
Lineage: Bacteria
Description: partial 16S ribosomal RNA
Rfam family: Bacterial small subunit ribosomal RNA
Source: RNAcentral